Long non-coding RNA from Oncorhynchus tshawytscha (Chinook salmon), 1702 nucleotides. The record is from Ensembl. NCBI's taxonomy places the organism in Eukaryota, Metazoa, Chordata, Actinopteri, Salmoniformes, Salmonidae.
ACACACACACACACACACACACACACACACACGCUACACAUAUAGACAUCUGUCUGCAUGGCUGCUGAGAGCCCCUUUGAUCUUUCAUCGUCACAUGACCUGUGUGUUGAAGUUUGUUUAUGAGCCAGGGUUCUGUUGUGUCUUUUGCACCAAAUGAGCAGGAGGUGAUACGGCCGGUGUGAUGUGUGAUGUGUGGGAGAGACAGUUGUUUGAUGUGUGUGUGUGUUAAGCUGUCAGAGACCACAUGCAUUGGUCCGCUGUAACUUACUGUGACAGCUGGCUCUGCAGGGAUUGAUUUGCGAGCUGACCAACACAGAGCCAGUCAGUCACUACUACAGCCAGUGACAUUACAUAUCUGUUUUAUAACUUUAUAUUGAGAGUGUACAAACACAUUACACACAGUGAGGAAAAUAAUAUCGAAGUCACACUAGUGAAGCACCAUCAAUGUCAAAAUAAGAUAGAUAUGGUGUGUGGACAGUCUCCAAAACAAGCUACCCUUCCCAGUUGGAGAGUGCGAACAUUUGGGCAACUUUAUGGUCCAUCCCACUGUCCUCUCCACCUCCCUUCAACCAGGGGGUUGAGAUGAUUGACACCAGCCUGCUAAGCACUGGAGCCACCAAGAUGGACGAGGUUACACCUCCUACAGCCCAGCCCCCACUCCUCACCCCUAACAACCCUACUCAUUCACAUGGACCACUAAUGGGGAGAGGAAGACCACAUGAUGGGCAGUGUGACCGUCUGUCUGGACAUGUAAAAAAUCCUACAGCAAGUGGUUGACUGGACAUGUCUCUGCUUCAGUGAGAGCUCAGACUGCCUGAUACCAUUGGCGAGCGCCGGAUGUUCACGCGAGAACAUGUCAUAAUACUGUGGACGUGGUCUACCACACAAAUCGCAACAAAACACAAACGCAUGGGAAUGCUCCAAAGAUAGAUGAGGGAUGAUUGUUUAUGAAUAGUCCAGGCAGUGUAAUGUCAUGUCAUGCCCUUCGUGUCUAGAAGGAACAUGGAUUACCUGUGAGAAACACUUGGACAAACUAUCCAAAACCUGUACAUCUUGUGCCACUUAAUAGGAAAGAACCCACAAGAUAGUAGUCAGAGAGAGGGGAUCCAAAGCGCUGUGAAUAACUGACCUCAUAACAGGCCUCUCUAUUGAGUUCACCUCCAGCUUUCUCCAGCGAGACUUUCCGUGCAUUUACUGCAAUCCAUUAUACACCCCAAACACAGACGUGUGGCCGGAUGACAACACGCAUCCAGACCUCCGGUCUUCAUCGUCCUGACGACAGAGUACCGGUGAUUAUAAAUCUGCAUGAUUGGGCCUUUCCCUUGGCCAAUUAGAUGAGGUGAAAUAUGGGAGGUCACGCCUGCUGUGGAGGCAGCAUGCAACCAGCGCUCUGUUUACUUAAAUGUCCCUUAUCAGCCCCCAUCAGAGGACCUGGGACACAAAGAGAAGGGGCCCAGAGUGUGUCCCUUUGUUCACAGAAAUGUGCCCUUUCUACAAGAUUUCCUCCCUUGCGUUUUGUGGCAUUCCUUUAGCAAUGGACAUCGACAUUGUUAAGAUAAAUAGAACAGUUGGAUAAUGGAUGAAGAUAUUCUAAACUUUUUAAAUUUGUUAUAGUUCAUCAGAUAUUGACUGAAUUAUAGUUCAGGGAUUCUGGUGGGAAUUCAGGUAUUCAAUAUAUUGUCAAAUGGCACUUUUGGGGGGG